AUUGAACGCUGGCGGCGUGCUUUACACAUGCAAGUCGAACGGCAUCACGGGUGCUUGCACCUGGUGGCGAGUGGCGAACGGGUGAGUAAUACAUCGAGACGUACCAAGUAGAGGGGGAUAACUAAUCGAAAGAUUAGCUAAUACCGCAUAAUCUCUGAGGAGGAAAGGUGGGGACCAGCAAUGGCCUGUCGUUACUUGAGCGGUCGAUGGUUGAUUAGCUAGUUGGUGGGGUAAGAGCUUACCAAGGCGAUGAUCGAUAGCUGUUCUGAGAGGAAGAUCAGCCACACUGGGACUGAGACACGGCCCAGACUCCUACGGGAGGCAGCAGUGGGGAAUAUUGGACAAUGGGGGCAACCCUGAUCCAGCAACGCCGCGUGAAUGAAGAAGGCC
This 390-nucleotide ribosomal RNA is filed under the name uncultured bacterium. Its description in RNAcentral is "bacterial SSU rRNA". It matches the Rfam family "Bacterial small subunit ribosomal RNA", at positions 30 to 416 of the family's 1533-position model. The record is from RNAcentral.